Molecule: ribosomal RNA, 301 nt
Filed under: uncultured bacterium
Lineage: Bacteria
Description: partial 16S ribosomal RNA
Rfam family: Bacterial small subunit ribosomal RNA
Source: RNAcentral
CAGUAGCCACGGUAAUACGGAGGGCGCGAGCGUUACCCGGAUUUACUGGGCGUAAAGGGCGUGUAGGCGGCCUGGGGCGUCCCAUGUGAAAGGCCACGGCUCAACCGUGGAGGAGCGUGGGAUACGCUCAGGCUAGAGGGUGGGAGAGGGUGGUGGAAUUCCCGGAGUAGCGGUGAAAUGCGCAGAUACCGGGAGGAACGCCGAUGGCGAAGGCAGCCACCUGGUCCACUUCUGACGCUGAGGCGCGAAAGCGUGGGGAGCAAACAGGAUUAGAUACCCCUGUAGUCCCUGUCUCUUAUAC